AGCGAACGCUGGCGGCGUGCCUAACACAUGCAAGUCGAACGUGAAAAGGGAAACCUGAGUAAAGUGGCGUACGGGUGAGUAACGCGUAGGUAAUCUACCCCAGAAUCUGGAAUAACCUGCCGAAAGGCGGGCUAAUACUGGAUAGAGCGAGGGAACUCGUAAGAGAGUUUUUCGGGAAAGGGAGCCCGCAAGGGCCUUCGUUCUGGGAUGAGCCUGCGUCUCAUUAGCUAGUUGGUAAGGUAACGGCUUACCAAGGCGAUGAUGAGUAGCUGGUCUGAGAGGAUGAUCAGCCACACUGGAACUGAAACACGGUCCAGACUCCUACGGGAGGCAGCAGUGGGGAAUCUUGCGCAAUGGACGAAAGUAUGACGCAGCCACGCCGCGUGAGUGAAGAAGGCCUUCGGGUUGUAAAGCUCUGUCGGAUGGGACGAACAUCUUCAUAGUGAAUAGCUAUGAGGACUGACGGUACCAUCAAAGGAAGCACCGGCUAACUCCGUG
RNAcentral lists this ribosomal RNA (498 nucleotides) under uncultured bacterium. Its description in RNAcentral is "partial 16S ribosomal RNA". It matches the Rfam family "Bacterial small subunit ribosomal RNA", at positions 29 to 507 of the family's 1533-position model. The record is from RNAcentral.